RNAcentral lists this long non-coding RNA (520 nucleotides) under Pandoravirus salinus. Its description in RNAcentral is "putative ncRNA". The record is from RNAcentral.
ACACACAAACACGCACACACACACAAACACACACACACACAAACACACACACACACACACACACACAAACACGGACCAAACGACAGCAAACCGUCAGACACGCGGCAAGAAAGAAGAAAAAGAAGAAUGGCCAGCCAGGAUAGUGACUGUCGGCUUGCAUCGAUCGGGCAUGUGCGCGAUGGACGCCCAAGAAGAAGGAAAAUGUGACAAAAAAUACACAAAAAAGGACAGAAACAAGAGCGGCAAGGGCGCGCAAAAAAAAGCAGACCUAGGCCGGUCCUUUGUUCGGGCGUGAGUCGCGCCAAAAGGGCGCCAAUCUCUGGGGUCUCUUGUGUCUCGCUCAUCGUCGCUUGGAUGGCCGCGAUUUUUUUUUCGGCAAGGCGAGAUGGUCGGUUUUCGUCGCGCUGCCUCUUUCCCCUCUGGCGGCCACCUUGUUGCUGGUGUCCCUCUGGACCGUGCCCUGUCCAAUGCUCGCCAACGGCUAAAACUCCCGACUAGAUGGUCCAAUAAAAUUUCAAAC